UUCCGCUGCACAAUUUUAUUAUCCCACUCGAAUUAUGAUAUUUUUAAUUUUCGCCUAGUUCUUGGCACAUAUAAAAUUCGGCAAUAUUUCGGCGUUUGCAGCAGUUGUGCAGAGAUCUUGGCGCGAAGUUCGAAAUAAGACUGAGGGAACGUUUUCAGAAAGCAUACAAAGUGUAUUCGCAUUUUCCUGCUCAGCGUUAGUUAUUCGCGAGCGUUUGGCCUGUGUAAACAAUCUGGCGAUAUAGCUGUGCGUAUCCACAAGGUUAGGAGAGCAGCAGGCCGCACUGUGCCAACAAACUAAUAAUAUCGCAGCUCUCGAUUGCAACCAUCUGCAACGGAUUUUGACAAUCUGAUAAAUGCGAUGCAAAUUGCGAAAAUACAUAUCUUUCGAGAGGAGGAAUCUGAGCAAUGCUGGCGCCCUGUGGCCAUAAAGCUCUGCACUUGACCUCAGUGCCGCCGGAAAGGCGGAAAAGUUUAUUGUUUCAAUUGGCAGUUGGCAGUUGGCGGUGUUCUCAACCGCAAACUAAAUGAAACACUGGGUUCUGAGUGAAUUUGAAAACAAGGCAAUAACUCUAUGCUGGGCAUUAAUUCAGAGCAUAAAUUCCCUAGCAACUUUGGCAGCACACGCAGAGCAUUAAAAUUAAGACAUUGUGGCGGGGAAUUUUAUGGCACACCAAUUGAGGUCGCAACUUGGCCACUAAAAAAAAUAAUUGAGAGUCGGCCAAUAAUAAGAGGAAGCCAACACUGACCGC
Molecule: non-coding RNA, 751 nt
Organism: Drosophila suzukii
Lineage: Eukaryota; Metazoa; Arthropoda; Insecta; Diptera; Drosophilidae
Source: RefSeq, a predicted model, not a curated record